RNAcentral lists this ribosomal RNA (497 nucleotides) under uncultured bacterium. RNAcentral's name for it is "partial 16S ribosomal RNA". It matches the Rfam family "Bacterial small subunit ribosomal RNA", at positions 28 to 507 of the family's 1533-position model. The record is from RNAcentral.
GAUGAACGCUGGCGGCGUGCCUAAUACAUGCAAGUCGAGCGAACAGACGAGGAGCUUGCUCCUCUGACGUUAGCGGCGGACGGGUGAGUAACACGUGGAUAACCUACCUAUAAGACUGGGAUAACUUCGGGAAACCGGAGCUAAUACCGGAUAAUAUAUUGAACCGCAUGGUUCAAUAGUGAAAGACGGUUUUGCUGUCACUUAUAGAUGGAUCCGCGCCGCAUUAGCUAGUUGGUAAGGUAACGGCUUACCAAGGCAACGAUGCGUAGCCGACCUGAGAGGGUGAUCGGCCACACUGGAACUGAGACACGGUCCAGACUCCUACGGGAGGCAGCAGUAGGGAAUCUUCCGCAAUGGGCGAAAGCCUGACGGAGCAACGCCGCGUGAGUGAUGAAGGUCUUCGGAUCGUAAAACUCUGUUAUUAGGAAAGAACAAAUGUGUAAGUAACUAUGCACGUCUUGACGGUACCUAAUCAGAAAGCCACGGCUAACUACGUG